UUGAUCACACUUUUUUUAGUCUCUUUCCAGCGGCUUAACAGUUUGGAAAACUGUUGCAAUUGUAGUGGCAUUAUAUGCUUAUAAAGCAGUACGAUAACUACCAUUUGGGUAUAUUCAUUAACAUGUGUUAUGAAAAAGUUAAAAUGAGCGUUGAUUUCUUUUCUUUUCUUUUUAAGAGAAAAACGUGUAUUAAAGUUUUUCUAGUUUUGGGUUACAGUUUCCCAUUUGAAAUAAUUGAAUUUCCUUGGAGUACAACUGGGUUUCCGGAAAGAGAAUUGGUGGUAGAAAGUAGAAACAACAUGGUCAAACUAGCACAACAUGUGCUUUUAUCUUGUCAUCUUUGUAAAUGUGAAUACGAAGCAACAAAUUUAACAUCAGGCCCUUUUUUAAUAAUUAUGUAAGCAGGACAAGACACCUACCAAUACUUUCCUGCUGGUUCUAGUUUUGUUGUGGGCUUUAUGCAUACUGGGGAGCAUGACUGCUUCCAAGGCAUUAAGUUGCUACAAAGAGCUUUUGUGCAAUCCUUCAAAUCUUAGAGAACAACAAGAGCAAAGAGGACACUACACUUCCUUCUUCAAGUUCCAAAUUUGUUAAAGAUUUUUAUGUAUCAUCAUAUUUGGGAUUAUAACAUUAAUACUAUUACAAUGUGUUUAUCGUAUUUGAUAUUGUUGAGAUCGUAAUUUUGAACUUAUAGUUAGUUUA
This is a long non-coding RNA of Carya illinoinensis, 702 nucleotides long. RefSeq lists it as uncharacterized. The transcript has 2 exons. The record is from RefSeq and is a predicted model, not a curated record. Lineage: Eukaryota; Viridiplantae; Streptophyta; Magnoliopsida; Fagales; Juglandaceae.